RNAcentral lists this ribosomal RNA (478 nucleotides) under uncultured bacterium. Its description in RNAcentral is "partial 16S ribosomal RNA". It matches the Rfam family "Bacterial small subunit ribosomal RNA", at positions 28 to 523 of the family's 1533-position model. The record is from RNAcentral.
GACGAACGCUGGCGGCGUGCUUAACACAUGCAAGUCGAACGGUAAGGCCCUUCGGGGUACACGAGUGGCGAACGGGUGAGUAACACGUGGGUGAUCUGCCCUGCACUUCGGGAUAAGCCUGGGAAACUGGGUCUAAUACCGGAUAGGACCACUGCCUGCAUGGGUGGUGGUGGAAAGCUUUUGCGGUGUGGGAUGGGCCCGCGGCCUAUCAGCUUGUUGGUGGGGUGAUGGCCUACCAGGGCGACGACGGGUAGCCGGCCUGAGAGGGUGACCGGCCACACUGGGACUGAGAUACGGCCCAGACUCCUACGGGAGGCAGCAGUGGGGAAUAGUGCACAAUGGGCGCAAGCCUGAUGCAGCGACGCCGCGUGAGGGAUGACGGCCUUCGGGUUGUAAACCUCUUUCAGCACCGACGAAGCGCAAGUGACGGUAGGUGCAGAAGAAGGACCGGCCAACUACGUGCCAGCCGCCGCGGUAA